RNAcentral lists this ribosomal RNA (255 nucleotides) under uncultured bacterium. RNAcentral describes it as "partial 16S ribosomal RNA". It matches the Rfam family "Bacterial small subunit ribosomal RNA", at positions 524 to 776 of the family's 1533-position model. The record is from RNAcentral.
UACGUAGGGUGCAAGCGUUGUCCGGAAUUAUUGGGCGUAAAGAGCUCGUAGGCGGUUUGUCGCGUCUGCUGUGAAAACCCGAGGCUCAACCUCGGGCCUGCAGUGGGUACGGGCAGACUAGAGUGCGGUAGGGGAGAUUGGAAUUCCUGGUGUAGCGGUGGAAUGCGCAGAUAUCAGGAGGAACACCAAUGGCGAAGGCAGAUCUCUGGGCCGUAACUGACGCUGGAGGAAGCGAAAGCAUGGGGAGCGAACAGG